RNAcentral lists this long non-coding RNA (1407 nucleotides) under Sus scrofa (pig). Its description in RNAcentral is "lncRNA (ENSSSCG00045022137.1)". Lineage: Eukaryota; Metazoa; Chordata; Mammalia; Artiodactyla; Suidae. The record is from RNAcentral.
UUCCCAGUCAGAUUCGUUUCCACUGCACCACGACAGGAACUCUGCAUUGGCCCUUCUGGCAUUAUAAAAUGCCCCGCUUUAUCUCUAGUUGCAUUUUUUUGUUUUAAAUCUAUUGUUUGAUAUCAUUACAGCCACUCCAGAUUUCUCUUGAGGCACAGUUCAUUUUCCUUCAUUUUUUUUCCCUCUUCUUUGGAUUUCACAAUCUCUAUUGACCUUUUUUUUUUUUUUUUUUUUUUUUUUUAUCUUUUUGUCUUCUUCUGGGGCUGUACCCACAGCAUAUGGAGGUUCCCAGGAGUUCCUGUCCUGGUGCAGUGGAAACGAAUCCAACUAGGAACCAGGAGGUUGUGGGUUCAAUCCCUGGCCUCACUCAGUGGGUUAAGGAUCCAGCGUUGCCAUGAGCUGUGGUAUAGGUCACAGACGAGGCUCAGAUCCAGCAUUGCUGCAGUUGUGGCAUAGGCCAGCAGCUAUAGCUCCACUUUGACCCCUAGCCUGGGAACUUCCAUAUGCCAUGGGUGUAGCCCUAAAAAGACAAAAGACACACACACACAAAAAAACCAAAUAAAAUAAAAUGUGUUUUUACCAUCUUUAGCAUCCACCUCUGUUCGUCUUUGAUAAUCCUUACACUGAUAUUCCAGAAUUAAAACACUAUAUAACAAUUUUUUAAACAUUGCAAGUCAUAUGUAGUUUCUAAGCCCACAAAUCACAGAAUAAAAGAGUUUAAAAUUGCCAAAUGUGUUACUAGAGUAUCACCUACAUUACUAGCUUAUUACAUAAACUAUUACAUACAAUUUCAUUUCCUUCCAAACCUCCAUUUCUUACCCCUUCUCACAAAGGCCUGUGAUUUUUAAAUCUCCAAAAUUACACAAGCCUACUGCUAUUAUCUCUAUAAUUUCUCUACAGGUCUCUUACCUCUGUUCUCAGGAUGUUGUCUGUCAGCUACAAGAGACAUAAGCAUGCAGCUCAAUUGCUGUUGGUUGGGUCAGCAACACAGUGGUGUCAAGUGAAUAAAAAUAUAGCCAGUGUCUGAGACUUACAAAUGUAUACGCAAUAAUUCUCCUUCGAGACUCCAGGCUAUACCCACUCACCCCCAAGCUAGCUCUGCAUCCUCUCAUGCAUGCUAAUGAUUGAAUUAGUCAUAGAGGAUAAAAACAGAAAUAUGAAUGCAUAGAACUCAUCGCAACUCCUUGCCAUUUCAUUGACAAGAUGUAAGUCAGUAGUUUAAAAGAAUGAAUGACAUUCAUUCUAAGGGCUGAAUGGAGAUGACCAAGUAGUAAUACUUUCCCAUUGUUCCCUAAUUCAUGAAAAAAUACCUCCUUUUCCUCUGUCUUUGGAAUAGACCCAGAUUUGCCAGAAUAUGGAAGAAUGAGGAAGGAAGUUGGAGAGAAGAAGCCUAAGGUUGCCACUAGA